Molecule: unclassified non-coding RNA, 241 nt
Filed under: Helotiales sp.
Lineage: Eukaryota; Fungi; Ascomycota; Leotiomycetes; Helotiales
Description: partial contains 5.8S ribosomal RNA, internal transcribed spacer 2, and large subunit ribosomal RNA
Source: RNAcentral
CGCAAAUUGCGCCCCCUGGCAUUCCAGGGAGCAUAUCUGUUCGAGCGUCAUUAAAACCCUCAAGCUCUGCUUGGUGUUGGGUGCCAGGCCUCCCCAGGCCCACCCGUAACCCGUUGGCGGCAGGUGCCGGCCCCGAGCGUAGCAGAAAUCCUCGCUCCGGUGGCCCGGCCCCCCACCCGCCAUGGAACCCCCCAUUCAAAAGUUUGACCUCGGAUCAGGUAGGGAUACCCGCUGAACUUAA